Molecule: long non-coding RNA, 837 nt
Filed under: Salvator merianae (Argentine black and white tegu)
Lineage: Eukaryota; Metazoa; Chordata; Lepidosauria; Squamata; Teiidae
Description: lncRNA (ENSSMRG00000016384.1)
Source: RNAcentral
AAAAAAUGCCAUGGAUUCAAGUGCCAGAUAAUCCUGCCUCUUUAAAUAAAGACAAGUUCUCUUUCUCAGGCCCUGUCACAUGGUUGCUAGGUGACAUGUAAACACUAGAGCUGAAUGAAAGACAGGAGAACUUCAAAGAAAUUCCAAAGGAUGAAAGGAGGGAAGCACUCUUUGAUGCUUUUUAGUCCUGGACAGUUCCCCGAUCUGUCUAGUCUGUUGGGGUAGAUUAAUAUAUCAGCUUUGCAUGAUUUUAAUAAAACAGCACAGCUGUAUGGAGAACGAAGGCCAGGUGUAGAAAUAAGAAAUACGGCUUUCUCCUCACUUGUACCUAUACUAGAGACCCAGCAAUUGUAUGAGGAAAGUAAGUAUAUUUCUAGGCUAACAAUGGUAUUUUAACAAUAUGUUUGUUGAUUUAUUUACUUGAGUAUUUAUAUUCUGCCUAUCAUUCAAAGGUUCCAGGGUGUUGAUCACAAACUGCUCCCAUAGUCUCACAUCAAGUUUUAUGCCAGUGGAAAACAACACUAUUCAGCUUUCUAUGACAACUAAAAUCUUUGAGAAAAGAAGUGAUGCCAAAGUUAAAGGGGAAAGCGAAGCCAAGAUCAGAUGUCUAUAUUUUAGAAAAGUUCCUACAAACCUAUGAAAAGCACUGUGUAGAAUCCCAAAGCUAUGUCAGUCCAACCAUCAAACAGGACUUACAAAAGUGUAUUGCAAAUAAAAUGUUAAUCACUAAGUUUGUGCUUACAAAUGCUGAGACCUUAUCAAGAGACAUGCGUCCAGUUUCUCUAACCCCUUUAUUAAAGGCUAUUCGAGAUGAACGUUACCAGAUGGGAAAGGAGC